AGCAGCCGCGGUAAUUCCAGCUCCAAUAGCGUAUAUUAAAGUUGUUGCAGUUAAAAAGCUCGUAGUUGAAUUUCGGGGUCAGCAAGUUGGUCGUGCCACUGGUAUGCACUGGCUUUGCUGAUUCCUCCUUCUUGUAGAACCGUAAUGCCAUUAAGUUGGUGUUGCGGGAAAACAGGACUGUUACUUUGAAAAAAUUAGAGUGUUUAAAGCAGGCUAACGCUUGAAUACAUUAGCAUGGAAUAAUGAAAUAGGACGACGAUCCUAUUUUGUUGGUUUCUAGGAUUGACGUAAUGAUUAAUAGGGAUAGUUGGGGGCAUUAGUAUUCAAUUGUCAGAGGUGAAAUUCUUGGAUUUAUUGAAGACUAACUACUGCGAAAGCAUUUGCCAAGGAUGUUUUCAUUAAUCAAGAACGAAAGUUAGGGGAUCGAAGACGAUCAGAUACCGUCGUAGUCUUAACCAUAAACUAUGCCGACUAGGGAUCGGAUGAUGUUAAUUUUAUAAUGACUCAUUCGGCGCCUUACG
Molecule: ribosomal RNA, 521 nt
Filed under: uncultured fungus
Lineage: Eukaryota; Fungi
Description: SSU rRNA
Rfam family: Eukaryotic small subunit ribosomal RNA
Source: RNAcentral